GAUGAACGCUGGCGGCGUGCCUAAUACAUGCAAGUCGAGCGAACGGACGAGAAGCUUGCUUUUCUGAUGUUAGCGGCGGACGGGUGAGUAACACGUGGAUAACCUACCUAUAAGACUGGGAUAACUUCGGGAAACCGGAGCUAAUACCGGAUAAUAUUUUGAACCGCAUGGUUCAAAAGUGAAAGACGGUCUUGCUGUCACUUAUAGAUGGAUCCGCGCUGCAUUAGCUAGUUGGUAAGGUAACGGCUUACCAAGGCAACGAUGCAUAGCCGACCUGAGAGGGGGAUCGGCCACACUGGAACUGAGACACGGUCCAGACUCCUACGGGAGGCAGCAGUAGGGAAUCUUCCGCAAUGGGCGAAAGCCUGACGGAGCAACGCCGCGUGAGUGAUGAAGGUCUUCGGAUCGUAAAACUCUGUUAUUAGGGAUGAACAUAUGUGUAAGUAACUGUGCACAUCUUGACGGUACCUAAUCAGAAAGCCACGGCUAACUACGUG
This 497-nucleotide ribosomal RNA is filed under the name uncultured bacterium. RNAcentral's name for it is "partial 16S ribosomal RNA". It matches the Rfam family "Bacterial small subunit ribosomal RNA", at positions 28 to 507 of the family's 1533-position model. The record is from RNAcentral.